UGGAAAUUAAUUGCAAAAUAAAUCAAUUGAAAUGUAAGAAAAUCAAUUAAAAUUUAAAAAUAAUAUUAAUUAUUAUUUUGUAAAAUUAAAAUUGAUGAAAAAAUAAAAUCAAGAUUUAUAAUUAAAAUUUAUAAAUUAAUAAAAUCAAAAAUUAAAAUAGAUAAAAUAAAAUAAAAUAAACAAUUAAAAGAAAAGAAAUAAAUAAAAUAAAAUAAUAAAUAAAAAGGGGUGCAAUCUAGAAAAUAGGAGCCCAUAAAGCAAAUGGGACAAGCUCAGGGUGCUGAGGCCCAAAACCACAUAUGAGUUGACCAAGGGAGUUAAUGUGUGGUCCAUCCAAUGAUCAGAUCCAUUGGAUCUAAUACGAUGGCCCAAAUGCG
RNAcentral lists this long non-coding RNA (377 nucleotides) under Lathyrus oleraceus (garden pea). RNAcentral describes it as "Pisum sativum (pea) long non-coding RNA (PSAT_LNC013990)". The record is from RNAcentral. Lineage: Eukaryota; Viridiplantae; Streptophyta; Magnoliopsida; Fabales; Fabaceae.